GAAAAUAUUGAUUCAUCAAAAUAGACCACACUUAGUCUUUUGCACUCCUGGGCAAAAUCAAGACGCAAAUCAGGGAAUAGUUCAACGGACAUCAGGGAAUUGACACAGACUCAACACACAGAAAACAAAGACUGACAAGGAAAGAAACAGAAUUACACAAUUCUCAAGAAAUCUGGACGAUGGAAGGAAGUAGACAAUAUCCAACAUAGAAUCAGAGAAAACAGAUACUCACAGAAAUCAUCCAAGC
RNAcentral lists this long non-coding RNA (247 nucleotides) under Vigna radiata. Its description in RNAcentral is "long non-coding RNA (VRAD_LNC016489)". Lineage: Eukaryota; Viridiplantae; Streptophyta; Magnoliopsida; Fabales; Fabaceae. The record is from RNAcentral.